RNAcentral lists this ribosomal RNA (191 nucleotides) under uncultured bacterium. Its description in RNAcentral is "partial 16S ribosomal RNA". It matches the Rfam family "Bacterial small subunit ribosomal RNA", at positions 338 to 524 of the family's 1533-position model. The record is from RNAcentral.
CCUACGGGAGGCAGCAGUGAGGAAUAUUGGUCAAUGGGCGGAAGCCUGAACCAGCCAUGCCGCGUGAAGGAGGACGGCCCUAUGGGUUGUAAACUGCUUUUGCUGGGGAGCAAUAAGGGUUUCGAGACCACCCAAUGCAAUGUACCCUAUGAAUAAGGAUCCGGCUAAUUCCGUGCCAGCAGCGCGGUAAU